GGCUUGGAAAAGUUUUUCAAUAAAAGGGAAUAAUAAAAAUGGUUAUUAUUUUGCCAUAGGAUAGGAUUGCGGUCGAUUAUGGCCGUUGGUGAGGUAAUGGCUCACCAAACCAAUAAUCGAUAGGGGCCGUGAGAGCGGGAGCCCCGAGAUGGGUACUGAUACAACGACCCGGGCCUUACGAGGCGCAUCAGGCGCGAAAACUCCGCAAUACACCAAAGUGUGACGGGGUUACCCAAAGUGCUUAAUAUUUAAUCUGUGGUAAGUGUGUAAUGUACCUUACUAGAAAGGAGAGGGCAAGGCUGGUGCCAGCCGCCGCGGUAAAACCAGCUCUUCAAGUGGUCGGGAUAUUUAUUGGGCUUAUAGUGUCCGUAGCUUGUAUAAUAAGUUCCUGGUAAAAUCUAAUAGCUUAACUAUUACUAUGCUAGGAAUACUGUUAUACUAGAGGGCGGGAGAGGUUUGAGGUACUUCAGGGGUAGGGGUGAAAUCCUAUAAUCCUUGAAUGACCUCCUGUGGC
RNAcentral lists this ribosomal RNA (514 nucleotides) under uncultured archaeon. RNAcentral's name for it is "bacterial SSU rRNA". It matches the Rfam family "Archaeal small subunit ribosomal RNA", at positions 167 to 667 of the family's 1478-position model. The record is from RNAcentral.